This 513-nucleotide ribosomal RNA is filed under the name Pichia kudriavzevii. RNAcentral's name for it is "eukaryotic LSU rRNA". The stretch from base 136 to 288 matches the Rfam family "5.8S ribosomal RNA". Lineage: Eukaryota; Fungi; Ascomycota; Pichiomycetes; Pichiales; Pichiaceae. The record is from RNAcentral.
CUUCCGUAGGUGAACCUGCGGAAGGAUCAUUACUGUGAUUUAGUACUACACUGCGUGAGCGGAACGAAAACAACAACACCUAAAAUGUGGAAUAUAGCAUAUAGUCGACAAGAGAAAUCUACGAAAAACAAACAAAACUUUCAACAACGGAUCUCUUGGUUCUCGCAUCGAUGAAGAGCGCAGCGAAAUGCGAUACCUAGUGUGAAUUGCAGCCAUCGUGAAUCAUCGAGUUCUUGAACGCACAUUGCGCCCCUCGGCAUUCCGGGGGGCAUGCCUGUUUGAGCGUCGUUUCCAUCUUGCGCGUGCGCAGAGUUGGGGGAGCGGAGCGGACGACGUGUAAAGAGCGUCGGAGCUGCGACUCGCCUGAAAGGGAGCGAAGCUGGCCGAGCGAACUAGACUUUUUUUCAGGGACGCUUGGCGGCCGAGAGCGAGUGUUGCGAGACAACAAAAAGCUCGACCUCAAAUCAGGUAGGAAUACCCGCUGAACUUAAGCAUAUCAAUAAGGCGGAGGAA